RNAcentral lists this unclassified non-coding RNA (391 nucleotides) under soil metagenome. RNAcentral describes it as "partial contains 5.8S ribosomal RNA, internal transcribed spacer 2, and large subunit ribosomal RNA". The stretch from base 1 to 122 matches the Rfam family "5.8S ribosomal RNA", at positions 35 to 154 of the family's 154-position model. The record is from RNAcentral.
GAUGAAGAACGUAGUGAAAUGCGAUACUUGGUGUGAAUUGCAGAAUCCCGUGAACCAUCGAGUCUUUGAACGCAAGUUGCGCCCGAAGCCAUUAGGCCGAGGGCACGCCUGCCUGGGCGUCACACGUCGUUGCCCCCCCAUCUACUCCUUCGGGAUUGCGGGGGGCGGAUGAUGGCCUCUCGUGCGCCUCGUCGCGCGGUUGGCCUAAAUGCCAAGUCCUCGGCGACGCACGCCACGACAAUCGGUGGUUGCGAAACCUCGGUUGCCUGUCGUGUGCGGUCGCCGCGCAUCGAGGGCUCGAAAAAAUUGCCGGGCUUCGGCUCGACUUUCAACGCGACCCCAGGUCAGGCGGGGUUACCCGCUGAAUUUAAGCAUAUCAAUAAGCGGAGGA